AUCCAGCUGACGAGACGCGGACGAAACGCGCGUCCUGGAU
This 40-nucleotide non-coding RNA is filed under the name Schistosoma mattheei. The record is from RNAcentral. Lineage: Eukaryota; Metazoa; Platyhelminthes; Trematoda; Strigeidida; Schistosomatidae.